ACGCUCGACACCUACGGAAGGCAGCAGUGGGGAAUAUUGCACAAUGGGGGAAACCCUGAUGCAGCGACGCCGCGUGGAGGAAGAAGGUCUUCGGAUUGUAAACUCCUGUUGUUGGGGAAAAAGAGGAUGGUACCCAACAAGGAAGUGACGGCUAACUACGUGCCAACAGCCGCGGUAAUCUGAGCGGGCUGGCAAGGC
RNAcentral lists this ribosomal RNA (198 nucleotides) under uncultured bacterium. RNAcentral's name for it is "partial 16S ribosomal RNA". It matches the Rfam family "Bacterial small subunit ribosomal RNA", at positions 326 to 539 of the family's 1533-position model. The record is from RNAcentral.